UUACGGCCAUAUCAUGUUGAAACAUUGGUUCUCGUACGAUCACCGAAGUUAAGCAUCGUCGAGCCUGGCAAGUACCUAGAUGGGUGACCGCUUGGGAAUAUCAGGUGCUGUAG
This is a non-coding RNA of Acanthosepion pharaonis, 113 nucleotides long. The record is from the annotation of a GenBank genome assembly. Lineage: Eukaryota; Metazoa; Mollusca; Cephalopoda; Sepiida; Sepiidae.